This 80-nucleotide transfer RNA is filed under the name Salmonella enterica subsp. enterica. RNAcentral's name for it is "tRNA-Ala". It matches the Rfam family "tRNA". From Rfam's summary of the family: Transfer RNA (tRNA) molecules are approximately 80 nucleotides in length. Their secondary structure includes four short double-helical elements and three loops (D, anti-codon, and T loops). The record is from RNAcentral. Lineage: Bacteria; Pseudomonadati; Pseudomonadota; Gammaproteobacteria; Enterobacterales; Enterobacteriaceae.
GCUGAUAUAGCUCAGUUGGUAGAGCGCAAUCUCUUUUGCAAGGGUGAGGUCGGCAGUUCGAAUUCCGCCUAUCAGCACCA